RNAcentral lists this ribosomal RNA (274 nucleotides) under uncultured bacterium. RNAcentral describes it as "partial 16S ribosomal RNA". It matches the Rfam family "Bacterial small subunit ribosomal RNA", at positions 523 to 796 of the family's 1533-position model. The record is from RNAcentral.
AUACGGAGGGUGCAAGCGUUACUCGGAAUCACUGGGCGUAAAGCGCGCGCAGGCGGGCUGAUAAGUCGGAUGUGAAAGCCUACGGCUCAACCGUAGAACUGCAUCCAAAACUGUCAGUCUAGAGUCUGGGAGGGGAAGAUGGAAUUAGUUGUGUAGGGGUAAAAUCCGUAGAGAUAACUAGGAAUACCAAAAGCGAAGGCGAUCUUCUGGAACAGUACUGACGCUGAGGCGCGAAAGCGUGGGGAGCAAACAGGAUUAGAAACCCUAGUAGUCC